Molecule: long non-coding RNA, 344 nt
Filed under: Prunus persica (peach)
Lineage: Eukaryota; Viridiplantae; Streptophyta; Magnoliopsida; Rosales; Rosaceae
Description: long non-coding RNA (PPER_LNC006418)
Source: RNAcentral
AAGAAUGAUUUAACAAAAUUUAUUUGGUUUUCGUAACUGAGUUUUUUUUUUAAGAUUUUUUGUUUAUUUAUAAAUUUAAAAAAGUUUGCAUUUUUAGCCACAAUUGAGAAAUUUGUGUCCAUAUUGUUAUAAAAUAAUCUGGAAUAUAAGCGGAUAUUGAGCUGCACGUAAAAUAGAUGAGACACAGCUUUUAACGAGGUUCGGCUAUGCCUACGUCCUCGGAGAGCAGCAGCAGUAACCUUUCACUAUAAAAUGAUAUGGCUACAACUUUAGGGUUUACAACAUAUGUGGCUCACUGAAUUUUCUCUCUAGGAGAAUUUCUCUCUAGGAGAAUUUCUCUCUGC